GCUAGUGAUGUAGUUUUGUGUCUUGUGACGUGUACGUACAUGAGCCGUAGAAAAGUCUCUACUGUACAAUAUUUGAUUUAAUCAAUAAUUGAUAAGAGAAAGUAAACAAAGAGAGGCUCUCAAUUUGUCAAAAGUACCAGCACGAUAAUAUCUCUAUAAUAAAUAACAAAUAAAUUUUCACAAAUCAGAGCAAAAAGUGGAAAACCGGCAUUCGCUGAUUAUUCUAGAGCAUUACGGAAUAUAUAGAUAAAUCGUACACUGAGCAAAAAGCAUCUGAGAAUUUCAUAAGUCUCGGCAUAUGAACCAGCCUUCUGACGAUGCCAUUGAACGCUUUCGAAUGUCAUAGACAGGCUUAUGAAUUCAUUUAUCUAUUCAUGCACUCCAUAGACGCACAAAUAAGAUAUUUCAUAAAACAGUCUUAUGACUUCGCUCCAAUAUAUGCGUUUAAGAAUUUCAUAAGUUUUUUUUUCAUGAAACCCAUAUGAGAUCUGUUUUUGAUUCUAUAAAAUUAUAUUUUGUUUUUCAUAAACGUCUCUUUUGUGAGAAUUGUUUCUUGUGAAGUCAGUACUGGCUUGGACGGUCAGCCAGGAGCUAAUAGUUUCAGUCCAGAACUUUUCAAUUACCGCUGUUUGAAACAAAAUAAGUGAGAU
Topomyia yanbarensis is the source of this 650-nucleotide long non-coding RNA. RefSeq lists it as uncharacterized. The transcript has 3 exons. The record is from RefSeq and is a predicted model, not a curated record. Lineage: Eukaryota; Metazoa; Arthropoda; Insecta; Diptera; Culicidae.